Non-coding RNA from Oryza meridionalis, 208 nucleotides. The record is from Rfam. Lineage: Eukaryota; Viridiplantae; Streptophyta; Magnoliopsida; Poales; Poaceae.
AAUAAGUAUAGUUUUGGCACUGUUCACGUCUAAAGUUUGAUCGUUCGUCUUAUUUGAAAAAAAAUAUGAUUAGUAUUUUUAUUGUUAUUAAAUGAUAAAACAUGAGUAGUACUUUACAUGUGACUAUUUUUUUUAAUUUUUUUAUAAAUUUUUUAAAUAAAACGGACGGUUAAAACACUAAACACGGAUAUAUAUGGCUGCACUUAUU